Oncorhynchus keta (chum salmon) is the source of this 1533-nucleotide long non-coding RNA. RefSeq lists it as uncharacterized. NCBI's taxonomy places the organism in Eukaryota, Metazoa, Chordata, Actinopteri, Salmoniformes, Salmonidae. The transcript has 3 exons. The record is from RefSeq and is a predicted model, not a curated record.
GCUAGAAGAGUCCAAUGAAAGUGGUAGAGAUGAGAGGUGGAGAGAAAGUCUAAAGAAAUGGGGAGGAGGAAAAGAGAAAGAGGAAGCUGGAGAGGGAGACACAGAGAUAGGAAGCGAAGACUAUUUGAGGGGGAGAGGAAUAAAAACAUUGGAGAGAGUGAGCUGUUUGAGCAAAGAAAAAGACAGAAGAGGAGACUAAGAGCUAUAUAAAACAUUUGUACUGGUUAUUAGAAUUGAAGAGGAGAACGAGCAGAGAGAAUAGAAAGCUAGAAGAGGAGAAAAAAAGAGAGGCGGAGGAGAAAAGGUGAGGCCAACAAUGUCCAGAAGAGACCAAAAAAAAAAAGUAUCUGAAUGAAUGGGUGGCGGGAAAAGAGGACAAGGGAGAGCUGAAUAACACCGCUGUGGGAAUUGAUGAUAACCUCUGCCAAUUGAUAAAGAUUGUUCAAUUUCUUCCCUUCGUCCCUUCGUCACUUCCAACAAGCACGGUGCAAAGGGUAAAAAUACUUUUCCAUCUUUGCAGCAGGGGGAAAAGCCCAGCUCUCACCACUCGUGCCGCAACAACAGUAAGAAGGGCUGGCGGGAUUGAUUUAACAAUGGGUGGAUGAUUCCUUUUGAAUAUACACAAUCUCACUUUACGCCCACUGUCUCUCUCGCUUGCCCUUUGGAGAUAUCGAUGGUCACUACAGUAAUGUGAGGCGGCAGGUAGCCUAGUGGUUAUAGCGUUGGGCCAGUUACCGAAAGGUUGCUUGAUCGAAUCCCUGAGCUAACAAGUUAAAAAUCUGUCCUUCCGCCCCUGAACAAGGCAGUUAACCUACUGUUCUCCGGUAGGCCUUCAUUGUAAGUAAUAAUUUGUUAUUUUAACUGACUUGCCUGGUAAAAAAAACAAAAACAGUGACAUGUUGAUAGCAACAAUUGAUAACCUUUCAGACAAUAAAAAAAAGUACUGAAUCAGAAGUGUCUGUACCUUUUCAUACAGUAGAAUUCUGCUCCGGCAUAGAAUGUUCGGUAUUGUUUUCUUGACAACAAUACACACGAUCGAUGGAUGUGCUGUUUGAUGGUAGGGUGUUUUCUUUCUACUAAAUGUCUUGGUAAGUAACGGCAUUUAAUUAACUUUAACCUACUUUUUAAAGGAGAAAGAGGUCUGCGCACAGGCAGCUCAAGAUAAUUUGAUAGUUCUGGUCUCCCAGUGUACAUUAGUCCUGCUUCAGAAGCGGCAUUGCUUUACAGACAAGUAAAAUACCGUCGAAACUAUCUCCAGAGAAGCUUUUGUGCUGGUAUUUAAAUGCCAUAGUGUACAGACAAACAAACAUGCCGUAGCCAAGGCGUUUUCAAGGCGGCACAUUCCAUGUCUGAUCUGUGUUAAUCUGCAAAAUUGUAAUUAUUCGCCUACCUGGUUAAAUAAAGGUGAAAUAAAAUUUUAAAAAUUGUAUCUUUGCAGCUGGGAUAAAGAGUUUAGCUAAGAUCCUGAAGCCCCUGAAGAGCAGAAAGUAGCCAGUCGAGGUGAGUGGAAAGGUGACCGGAAAACAUGCUGGA